GGGGCUGUAGCUCAGUUGGUUAGAGCAGGGGACUCAUAAUCCCUUGGUCCGGGGUUCGAGUCCCCGCGGCCCUA
Molecule: transfer RNA, 74 nt
Filed under: Verrucomicrobiia bacterium
Lineage: Bacteria; Pseudomonadati; Verrucomicrobiota; Verrucomicrobiia
Also listed under: 1 other name
Description: tRNA-Ile
Rfam family: tRNA
About the family: Transfer RNA (tRNA) molecules are approximately 80 nucleotides in length.
Source: RNAcentral